Molecule: transfer RNA, 75 nt
Filed under: Clostridia bacterium
Lineage: Bacteria; Bacillati; Bacillota; Clostridia
Description: tRNA-Glu
Rfam family: tRNA
About the family: Transfer RNA (tRNA) molecules are approximately 80 nucleotides in length. Their secondary structure includes four short double-helical elements and three loops (D, anti-codon, and T loops).
Source: RNAcentral
GCCUCGUUGAUCAAGCGGUUAAGAUGUAGCCCUCUCAAGGCUGAAACAGGGGUUCGAUUCCCCUACGAGGUACCA